This is an unclassified non-coding RNA of Papio anubis (olive baboon), 117 nucleotides long. It matches the Rfam family "Metazoan signal recognition particle RNA". From Rfam's summary of the family: The signal recognition particle (SRP) is a universally conserved ribonucleoprotein. Lineage: Eukaryota; Metazoa; Chordata; Mammalia; Primates; Cercopithecidae. The record is from Ensembl.
GCUGGGCAUGGUGGCUCAUGCCUGUAAUCCCAGCACUUUGGGAGGCUGAGGCGGGUGGAUCACCUGAGGUCGGGAGUUCGAGACCAGCCUGACCAACAUGGAGAAACCCUGUCUCUA